UUCCCCAAUAAGUAGUUGUAUAGUACAAUCAAAAUAUACUGUGAUUGCAAAUGAGAUGGAUGAUGAAUCAAUGUCCAACUGUAAUGAUGAUAAUAACGAAAAUCAAGAUGAGAAUAAUAUUAACCUUGAAUCUGUGGUGCUGCAAGAUGCUGAAAGAACAGCACCUGCAAUACGUGGUACACAGACAAUGAGACUUAGCUAUACCAAAAUUGCAUCAACUAAUUCUCAUUCGCAGUCAGACACUAGUUCAGACAGACACAAUUCUUAAAUAUUAACAACAAAUUGUUCGUAAACAAAAUAUUCUACAGUCCAUGAUGAUGGACAUCAGCAACCAAACUAACGAAAAAAAUACUCAAGUAGCAGCAGAAGAUAUUCAAGGGGUUGAUUCUCUCUUUACUAACAUUGCUAACUUGCCAGUCAACACAAUGCCACAAUUAGAAGAAUUAGAAAAUUAUCUUUCUACUUCAGAAAAACUGGAUAAAGCGGCAAAAGAAAUUUCGCAAAUUGGUGGAGCAAACUUAUACGAAUUUAUUUCUCGGUCCUGUCAAAAACUAAUCACAAAUCAGUUGUGGUGAGACAUUCAGUUUUUUAGGCAGAAGAC
Long non-coding RNA from Photinus pyralis (common eastern firefly), 601 nucleotides. RefSeq lists it as uncharacterized. The transcript has 4 exons. NCBI's taxonomy places the organism in Eukaryota, Metazoa, Arthropoda, Insecta, Coleoptera, Lampyridae. The record is from RefSeq and is a predicted model, not a curated record.